Molecule: ribosomal RNA, 468 nt
Filed under: uncultured bacterium
Lineage: Bacteria
Description: partial 16S ribosomal RNA
Rfam family: Bacterial small subunit ribosomal RNA
Source: RNAcentral
GACGAACGCUGGCGGCGUGCUUAACACAUGCAAGUCGAACGGAAAGGCCCUGCUUUUGUGGGGUGCUCGAGUGGCGAACGGGUGAGUAACACGAGAGUAACCUGCCCUUGACUUUGGGAUAACUUAAGGAAACUGGGGCUAAUACAGGAUAGGAGCUUCUGCUGCAUGGUGGGGGUUGGAAAGUUUCGGCGGUUGGGGAUGGACUCGCGGCUUAUCAGCUUGUUGGUGGGGUAGUGGCUUACCAAGGCUUUGACGGGUAGCCGGCCUGAGAGGGUGACCGGCCAGGUUGGGACUGAGAUACGGCCCAGACGCCGAGGGGAGUGAGCAGUGGGGAAUAGUGCGCAGUGGGCGGAAGCCGGAUGCAACAACGCCGCGUGCGUUAUGACGGCCUUCGGGUUGUAAACCGCUUUCGCCUGGGACGAAGGGUGGUUGACGGUAAUUGGUAAAGAAGCGCCGGCUAACUACGUG